Molecule: long non-coding RNA, 508 nt
Organism: Cebus imitator (Panamanian white-faced capuchin)
Lineage: Eukaryota; Metazoa; Chordata; Mammalia; Primates; Cebidae
Exons: 2
Source: RefSeq, a predicted model, not a curated record
AGAGCUGCGCACAGGAGUUGAAAAUGAGUUUUAACACUGCAGGGAUAUCAGGGCAGUUUGAACAAAGCAACAUUGGUUAGAUCACUGGAUUGUGAGUUCUUCGUGCUGAGCAUUAUCAGAAGUCAGUGGCGUGGGGUGAGGAAAAACCCAAUUGAGGAGUGGUAAUAGAGGAAGUGAACUAUGAAGCCAGGGAUUCCAGCUUUAAAUGUUUCCCAAGAUGUGUUUCAUGAGAGUUUAUUUUGUCUACAGCAUCCCCAAGGAAGCUUGUGGUUAAUGAUGUGCUCCUGCGUGUGCCUGGCAACCAACGGGACCAGACGAACAGAAGAGGCGCCCUGAUUGGCUCCUGGGAUUACGGCUUUAUUAGUGUGCUCUGACAGCCUGUCUGUCACCAGCACCAAGCGCCGAACAUUAACUUGAACCUCGACGGCUCCACUCCCAGAGAAAAUGGGGGCCUAAUGUGUUAUAAAUCAAGUUGGCUUUUGAAAUCAAUAUUCCUAAAAAAAAAAAA